UAACAUAUGCUUGUCUCAAAGAUUAAGCCAUGCAUGUGUGCGAAAAACCAUAGUUUUUUCGGCGAUUCUGCGUACAGCUCAUUAAAUCAGUUAUAAUUUCUGUGAGGAUCGAAGUUUGAUUACUUAUACGGAUAACCGGAGUAAUUCUCGAGCUAAUACGUGCGUAGGGGGUUGGUUGGUUGUAAAAGGCUGGCUGAUCUGUGCUGAUUAGAUUCGGUGUAGUUGUGGCAUCUUGUAUCAAGAUGAGACGACUCAUAGUCAUCGUUCGGAUCUGUGU
This 277-nucleotide ribosomal RNA is filed under the name uncultured eukaryote. RNAcentral's name for it is "partial 18S ribosomal RNA". It matches the Rfam family "Eukaryotic small subunit ribosomal RNA", at positions 25 to 275 of the family's 1831-position model. The record is from RNAcentral.